UAUCGAACAGUUAGAAAGGGGAAGAUCGAAGGAGUGGAUGGAUGAUGCUUGGGGCAGUUGCUGGCGGAUUUGCAUCUGCAUCUGCAUGUGCACGUUCUGUCACUCUACUUUUUCUGUCGGCCCUUUUCGAUUUCAAUUCACACCUGUGCACCCAUCGUAGGUCUUCGAAAGAAGAUCUAUGUCUUUUAUAACACUGCUUUGUAUGGCCAUAGAAUGUAAAAAUCUAUUACAACUUUCAGCAACGGAUCUCUUGGUUCUCGCAUCGAUGAAGAACGCAGCGAAUUGCGAUAAGUAAUGUGAAUUGCAGAUUUCCAGUGAAUCAUCGAAUCUUUGAACGCACCUUGCGCUCCUUGGUAUUCCGAGGAGCAUGCCUGUUUGAGUGUCAUUAAAUUCUCAAGGAGUUUGUUCUCUUUGGAUUUUGGAGUGUUUGCUGGCUUGAAUCUUGUUCAGCUCCUCUCAAAUGCAUUAGCUUGUGCUUCUGUGGAAUCAGGCUUUGGUUUGAUAGUAUCUAUGUCAUUGCCUUUGAAACAAAUGAGCUAGCUUCUAAUCAUUUUAUUUUUGACAUUUUG
This 569-nucleotide unclassified non-coding RNA is filed under the name Boletaceae sp. 6 CG-2012. Its description in RNAcentral is "sequence contains ITS1, 5.8S rRNA gene, ITS2". The stretch from base 231 to 385 matches the Rfam family "5.8S ribosomal RNA". The record is from RNAcentral. Lineage: Eukaryota; Fungi; Basidiomycota; Agaricomycetes; Boletales; Boletaceae.